AUACGGAAGGUCCGGGCGUUAUCCGGAUUUAUUGGGUUUAAAGGGAGCGCAGGCGGAGAUGCAAGCGUGACGUCAAAUUUCGGGGCUCAACCCCGUCUCGCGUCGCGAACUGCGUCCCUUGGUUGCGGGAAGGGGAGGCGGAACUCGUGGUGUAGCGGUGAAAUGCAUAGAUAUCACGAAGAACUCCGAUCGCGAAGGCAGCCUUCCGGCCCGUCAACGACGCUCAUGCUCGAGGGUGCGGGUAUCAAACAGGAUUAGAUACCCUGGUAGUCCGCACAGUAAACGAUGGACACCCGCGGUUUGGCCUGUAUGGCUGAGCCGCCAAGCGAAAGCGUUAAGUGUCCCACCUGGGGAGUACGCCGGCAACGGUGAAACUCAAAUGAAUUGACGGGG
This 393-nucleotide ribosomal RNA is filed under the name uncultured bacterium. Its description in RNAcentral is "partial 16S ribosomal RNA". It matches the Rfam family "Bacterial small subunit ribosomal RNA", at positions 523 to 918 of the family's 1533-position model. The record is from RNAcentral.